Molecule: long non-coding RNA, 1602 nt
Organism: Poecilia latipinna (sailfin molly)
Lineage: Eukaryota; Metazoa; Chordata; Actinopteri; Cyprinodontiformes; Poeciliidae
Exons: 4
Source: RefSeq, a predicted model, not a curated record
AGAAGUUCAUAUUCACUGUUGUUGGGAACUGUUACCUUGUAGCAUUUUUCCAAUUACUUGAUUUAGGAAAUGCACUUCACAGUAAAUUUCGCAGUGUUAAAUAUGCAGUGUCACAAUUCAUUGACUCUUUCAGAGCUAUUGCAACUACAGAUUGAGUAUAAUGCCACCUAGUGUUGGUGAAAAUUUCCAGAGUGAAUAGACGUCGUGUCAAUUUGACUCCGACAAGCUCCGCCCACCUCCUCCUCUCAAACGAACAAGUCUAACCGUUGCAUGGACGCCAUUUUUCUCCUGCUCCAACGGCUGUGAAAACAUCUGUGGCACGUUUCUGGAGAAAUGGAUGACGACAUUCAAAAGAGACAUCGUCCAACAAUGCAGAAAGUUUCCAACCAACAGGGAGCUUGAAGAUCUCCUCCUGACAGCUGAUUAUACUGAGGAUUGGACUGACGUGGAUGAUGACAACAUCGGUUGGGACAGUGACGUCUCAUCAAUUUACUACUGCUACUUCUGGUUCCCCCCCUCUGCCAUGGCUCAUUAUUAACCAGGGAAGGUGUCUUCGUCCCAAGCAGAGAAGCAUCUUGUGAUCUUCAAGAAGAGCAGAACCAAAAUCCAGGAAUGUCUUGAUGCCAUUACGACGAGCACACAACCCUACCACCUGGCUGGAGGACAGAAGAAGAAGGCAGUCCACCAAAAUGCCAUUGCUUACAGGUCAACCUCCUCUCUUGGUGCCUUUGACAAACUGUUUAAGGGACUUUGUGUUUGCCACAGUAUACAGCCCCAUGCUGUGCAACAUGUUUACAUUCAUCCAGAUCACUGUGUACAACAUAGACUUUAGCAAAGUAUAGGAGAGUCCUCACGUGGCAGAAAUUUGAGCCAAGUUUUAAUUAUACUUGACCAGUUAUGUUUGCCAUUAAGUGUUUACUUUGUGAGACAGUUAACUUGCACAAAUGCACUUGUUCGGCUGAUGGUGACACUUUGAUUUUAGAGGGUACAGUAAUUGCUGCAAAAUUAGGGAUUGUUUUGACAACUAGUGUGCUUUCUGCCAAGUAGAUAAAAUACUGUGGUACAGAGUUGUGUCCUGACUUUAUCAUAUGUACUGAGAUAGCAUGUGAGAUACCUGUAUUUUGCAAAGGUAAAGUUAUGUGCUGGAAAAUUGAUGGAAAUCAUGAGUUUUGAUGACCACUACAAAUCCCAAAUUUUGCAGCAAUUGCUGCACCCUCUGAAGUCAAAGGGUCACUUUAUGGACAAGCUGCAUGUAGACAAUUUUCUAAAUGUUUUGCAUAUAACUAAUCUUUUCUACUUCAAACCAUUUGAUGUUCAAAUGAAGUAUGUUAUGACUAAUACUACCUUAUAUUUGGUUCCAUAUUGCCAUUUUAUACAGAUCUGUGGUCAUUUUGGUAGUAGUGUUUUUGGUAGUGCUGAAGUUAACUGUUUGUGGAGUUGAGAUUGGUUGCUUGGCAUGCCAGGCACACCUGAAACCAUUUUUACUGUCAACUCAAAGCUCUAAUGUAUUGGGGUGUACACCAUAUGAUAUUACUGUAACACUAAAAGUUUACAAUGGAACUUUAAACGGUGCUUUUGUUCAAUAAAGUGAAGUUAAAUGCA